UCGUGCUAGGCGGGGGAGUAGCGGCGCCCUGUCGCUCGCAGUUCCGCUCUAGCGAGGCCGAAUCCCCGGUUGCGGGGUUCCGCCUCGGGGUCAGCGCGCCGAUGGCGGUGUCGAUGGUCCGGGUCUCACGCAACGUCGGUCUGUGAACCAGGUCAGGUCCGGAAGGAAGCAGCCUUAAGCGGCCCCCGGCGUGUGCAGUGAGGUAGCC
RNAcentral lists this signal recognition particle RNA (208 nucleotides) under Pseudonocardiales bacterium. RNAcentral describes it as "partial signal recognition particle sRNA large type". It matches the Rfam family "Bacterial large signal recognition particle RNA", at positions 1 to 203 of the family's 256-position model. Rfam says of the family: The signal recognition particle (SRP) is a universally conserved ribonucleoprotein involved in the co-translational targeting of proteins to membranes. Archaeal SRP consists of a 7S RNA and homologues of the eukaryotic SRP19 and SRP54 proteins. In most bacteria, the SRP consists of a 4.5S RNA and the Ffh protein (a homologue of the eukaryotic SRP54 protein). Lineage: Bacteria; Bacillati; Actinomycetota; Actinomycetes; Pseudonocardiales. The record is from RNAcentral.